RNAcentral lists this transfer RNA (73 nucleotides) under Helianthus annuus (common sunflower). Its description in RNAcentral is "tRNA-Ile". Lineage: Eukaryota; Viridiplantae; Streptophyta; Magnoliopsida; Asterales; Asteraceae. The record is from RNAcentral.
CUCUUAGUGGCAUCUUGGUGGUGCGAUAAGACUUAUGAUCAAUAGGUUAUGGGUUCGAUUCCCACAAAGGAGG